GAUGAACGCUGGCGGUCUGCUUAACACAUGCAAGUCGAACGGGUACUUCGGUACUAGUGGCGGACGGGUGAGUAACGCGUGAGAAUCUAGCUUCAGAAUGGGGACAACAGAGGGAAACCGCUGCUAAUACCCGAUGUGCCGAAAGGUGAAAGAUUUAUCGUCUGAAGAUGAGCUCGCGUCCGAUUAGCUAGUUGGUAGGGUAAAAGCCUACCAAGGCGACGAUCGGUAGCUGGUCUGAGAGGAUGACCAGCCACACUGGGACUGAGACACGGCCCAGACUCCUACGGGAGGCAGCAGUGGGGAAUUUUCCGCAAUGGGCGAAAGCCUGACGGAGCAAGACCGCGUGAGGGAGGAAGGCUCUUGGGUUGUAAACCUCUUUUCUCUGGGAAGAAGCUCUGACGGUACCAGAGGAAUCAGCAUCGGCUAACUCCGUGCCAGCAGCCGCGGUAAUACGGAGGAUGCAAGCGUUAUCCGGAAUUAUUGGGCGUAAAGCGUCCGUAGGUGGCAAUUCAAGUCUGCCGUUAAAACCAGUGGCUUAACUACUGAGGGGCGGUGGAAACUGAAUAGCUAGAGUGUGGUAGGGGUAGAGGGAAUUCCCAGUGUAGCGGUGAAAUGCGUAGAGAUUGGGAAGAACACCGGUGGCGAAAGCGCUCUGCUGGACCACAACUGACACUCACAGGACGAAAGCUAGGGGAGCGAAAGGGAUUAGAUACCCCUGUAGUCCUAGCCGUAAACGAUG
Molecule: ribosomal RNA, 739 nt
Filed under: Phormidium sp. LS703d
Lineage: Bacteria; Bacillati; Cyanobacteriota; Cyanophyceae; Oscillatoriales; Oscillatoriaceae
Description: bacterial SSU rRNA
Rfam family: Bacterial small subunit ribosomal RNA
Source: RNAcentral